AAAUGGAUCUGCCUCUCCAUGGGUGGUAGUCCUUGUGGUAAAGUGCAAAGCCCACCUUUGAGUGGCCUGGGAGCAAACGGAGCAGCGAGCGACAGGUUACAGCAAUGAACAUUUAAAGCAACAUCAAACCGAGUGCUCUGGCGAACGGGCGAGGAAAGCGAGGAAGACUCAUGAGGACAAUAUUGCAGAAUAAACGCACAAAACAAAACAGGCCUGUUCCCAGAUAAAAGAAAGGAAAAGUAACCCAAAUAUCGAUUAAUAAUACAAGAGAACAAAAUCAAGAAAGGACGAUAGGAAGAGGGAUUAGGAACAGACUAAAGGAUCAAGAGCAGUUAAAGGAAUAAAAA
This is a long non-coding RNA of Acanthopagrus latus (yellowfin seabream), 347 nucleotides long. RefSeq lists it as uncharacterized. The transcript has 2 exons. The record is from RefSeq and is a predicted model, not a curated record. NCBI's taxonomy places the organism in Eukaryota, Metazoa, Chordata, Actinopteri, Spariformes, Sparidae.